Molecule: transfer RNA, 74 nt
Filed under: Kapaibacterium sp. (SeqCode)
Lineage: Bacteria; Pseudomonadati; Bacteroidota; Eximiradiia; Eximiradiales; Kapaibacteriaceae (SeqCode)
Description: tRNA-Arg
Rfam family: tRNA
About the family: Transfer RNA (tRNA) molecules are approximately 80 nucleotides in length. Their secondary structure includes four short double-helical elements and three loops (D, anti-codon, and T loops).
Source: RNAcentral
GGCCCUGUAGCUCAGUUGGAUAGAGCACAAGUUUCCUAAACUUGGUGUCACAGGUUCAAAUCCUGUCAGGGUCA